CGGAAGAGAAAGAGAGAGAGAGGACACAGGGAAACUUACAGCAAAAGUUUCGAUGUUUAUAGCUUUCUUGGGGAAGAAAACACAUGCACAGAUCCUGGUGUUAGGAAUAUUUUAAGCAUGUAUCUUCAAUAUUAUUCAUCCAGGACCGAAGUAAGUCCUGAUGCAGGAAAUGAGUGACUUUCACAGCUUUCUGAGCCCCUACUCAACCCAGGAAGUCCAGCUGGCACCUCCUCUGGAUCACAAGCUUAACUGAGAAACUUUCUUCUACUUUAUAACAAG
RNAcentral lists this long non-coding RNA (279 nucleotides) under Homo sapiens (human). RNAcentral describes it as "non-protein coding lnc-ADGRB3-2:3". Lineage: Eukaryota; Metazoa; Chordata; Mammalia; Primates; Hominidae. The record is from RNAcentral.